This 76-nucleotide transfer RNA is filed under the name Muribaculaceae bacterium. RNAcentral's name for it is "tRNA-Lys". It matches the Rfam family "tRNA". From Rfam's summary of the family: Transfer RNA (tRNA) molecules are approximately 80 nucleotides in length. Their secondary structure includes four short double-helical elements and three loops (D, anti-codon, and T loops). Further hydrogen bonds mediate the characteristic L-shaped molecular structure. tRNAs have two regions of fundamental functional importance: the anti-codon, which is responsible for specific mRNA codon recognition, and the 3' end, to which the tRNAs corresponding amino acid is attached (by aminoacyl-tRNA synthetases). tRNAs cope with the degeneracy of the genetic code in two manners: having more than one tRNA (with a specific anti-codon) for a particular amino acid; and 'wobble' base-pairing, i.e. permitting non-standard base-pairing at the 3rd anti-codon position. The record is from RNAcentral. Lineage: Bacteria; Pseudomonadati; Bacteroidota; Bacteroidia; Bacteroidales; Muribaculaceae.
GAUUCGUUAGCUCAGCAGGUAGAGCAACGCCCUUUUAAGGCGUGGGCCCUGGGUUCGAGUCCCAGACGGAUCACCA